RNAcentral lists this ribosomal RNA (521 nucleotides) under uncultured bacterium. RNAcentral describes it as "bacterial SSU rRNA". It matches the Rfam family "Bacterial small subunit ribosomal RNA", at positions 17 to 518 of the family's 1533-position model. The record is from RNAcentral.
UCCUGGCUCAGGAUGAACGCUGGCGGCGUGCUUAACACAUGCAAGUCGAACGAAGCACCUCUAAUCGAAGAUUGAGAAAGCUUGCUUUGAUUGAUUCACCUUGAGGUGACUGAGUGGCGGACGGGUGAGUAACGCGUGGGUAACCUACCCUAUACAGGGGGAUAACAGUUGGAAACGACUGCUAAUACCGCAUAAGCGCACAGGACCGCAUGGUCUAGUGUGAAAAAACUCCGGUGGUAUAGGAUGGACCCGCGUCUGAUUAGCUAGUUGGUGAGGUAACGGCUCACCAAGGCGACGAUCAGUAGCCGACCUGAGAGGGUGACCGGCCACAUUGGGACUGAGACACGGCCCAAACUCCUACGGGAGGCAGCAGUGGGGAAUAUUGCACAAUGGGCGAAAGCCUGAAUGCAGCGACGCCGCGUGAACGAAGAAGUAUUUCGGUAUGUAAAGUUCUAUCAGCAGGGAAGAAAAAUGACGGUACCUGACUAAGAAGCUCCGGCUAAAUACGUGCCAGCCGCGGC